ACUCCCAAUCUCUCUUUUGAAUGUUAUAAAGAAGAAGAAUGAGGAGAAAGGUUUGGAAACCAUUAAUGAUAUUGAUGUGAGAUGGAGGCUUCUUAGUGGAAAAAUUGUUUCUCCUGAAACUAAAGUGUUACUUUCACAAGCUCUUACUAUCUUCCAAGAAUGUUUUGAUCCCAUAGUCGAUACAACUGGACGUGACCUCAUUCCUUUGAUGGUUUAUGGGAUCAAAACAUUCUUGGAAGAUAG
Molecule: unclassified non-coding RNA, 243 nt
Filed under: Hevea brasiliensis (rubber tree)
Lineage: Eukaryota; Viridiplantae; Streptophyta; Magnoliopsida; Malpighiales; Euphorbiaceae
Source: RNAcentral